CCCUGCGCAGGCACACACGUCUACUCCAGUCACCUGACCUGUCCCUGCAUGAUCUCCAGUCCAGACGAUCCUCCCCGUGCAUAGGAGCAGCAGCAGCCUCCGCUGCACCGAUCCCCGGCAGCCAGCAGGAGGAUGAGGAUCUGCUGACAAUGUGAGGAGCCAAUGAUGUCUGGAUGUCAGACUCUGCAGAAAAGAUGGAGCUGGAGGAAGACCUGGUCUCUGGACCAGAUGAAGAAGAAAAGAUAACAGAGAAAAUAUCACUCAAGUGAGAAGACGUCACUCAGGUAUUAUGACUGUAAAGCAACCGUCCUGCGUAAAAUAAAAAAAAAACAAGGAAUUCAGGAAGUGGGAGCAGGAGUUCCGGAACCAUCUCCUGCCAGAGGGUCGGAGUGAGACAGGCCUUGGUGGUCCUCAUAUGUCGCCUGAAUCCGAGAGUGCUGGCGAUCAACCAGGUCCAUCUGCAGGGAGGAUGGUCCGCCAUCAAAACUUGCCCCAAUCACCUGUCCUGUCCUCAGCAUCGGCUGAGAUAGAUGAGGAGGAGGAGGUGUCCCCAGGUGAACAACACCAACCACUCUCCCCCAACCCUAGCUCCUGGCUCUGUCCCAAGGGAUACUUACCUGCAGCUUGCUAAAGAAAUCCAAAGGCUGGCCAAGGAGAACAGGAACAUGUCGCGCGAAUUGCGCCGGAUGAAUCGCACCAUGGUUGAACUCCACCGAUCACAAAAACAAGAGUUCCAAGCCCUGUUGGCCAAACAAAUGGGAGAAUUUCAGGCCAUGUUGUCCCACCAUAGCCAACAACAGAUGCAGGCGAUGCAUGAUUUGAGGGUGGACGUUAUGCCCCAUAAGCAGCAGCAAUACCCCCCAAAAAAACUGAAAUAUACGGGACUAAAUUAUUUCGCCUUGUUGAUAUGUUUCAGUUGUUGUUCUGUUUAAGAUAUGUUAUUAUUACUACUGCAGCA
Long non-coding RNA from Hyla sarda, 958 nucleotides. RefSeq lists it as uncharacterized. NCBI's taxonomy places the organism in Eukaryota, Metazoa, Chordata, Amphibia, Anura, Hylidae. The record is from RefSeq and is a predicted model, not a curated record. The transcript has 4 exons.